AUUUAAAAGUAACAAUGAGUUGAUUUGAAAGGACCAGAAAGGAGGAGCGACUAUUUGCACAAUUUAUCCCAAAAGCAGAAACAUGCUUGGCCUAGGGUUUGUGACCCCGUUUCAUCUUUAUUAUUUAAGUUAUUCUUUCUAUUUUUUUUUUUCAUUCUCUGCUUCAUUCUUGUUUAAACAAAACAAAGAACCCUUAUUCCCUUCUCCCCUUUUGGUUAGGGUUUCUAAACCCAUUUUCGCCGCCGUCAUCAUGGCUCUUUGAAGCCGCCGGAGCUUUCACCGUCAACGAUGGUCAGGGUCACCAAGAUCCAGAACAACAACCAAAGAAAAAAAAAACUAAAAAUCCCCCUGUUUUACAUGGGAUGGCAGAGAGUGGUUGGAGGCAGUUUGAAAUUUCAGAUUUUUCUUUUCUCUUUUUUUUUUUUUAUUUGGGUUAGGGUUAGGUUAAGCUAUUGGGUUUUGGGUGUUUAAUGUGUAAUGGGUUGGUAGUUUAGGGGUGUUGGCUAAGGUAGGUCAAAAUUGUAAAAGGGUUUGAAAUUGGGUUAAAAUUAGCCUACAACAUUACUCUUUUUUAAAAAAUAAUUUAUGUUUUUUAAAAUAAUAAAUCAUUUUACAAGGAAAAAAA
Long non-coding RNA from Gossypium arboreum, 625 nucleotides. RefSeq lists it as uncharacterized. The transcript has 3 exons. Lineage: Eukaryota; Viridiplantae; Streptophyta; Magnoliopsida; Malvales; Malvaceae. The record is from RefSeq and is a predicted model, not a curated record.